Molecule: long non-coding RNA, 334 nt
Filed under: Theobroma cacao (cacao)
Lineage: Eukaryota; Viridiplantae; Streptophyta; Magnoliopsida; Malvales; Malvaceae
Description: long non-coding RNA (TCAC_LNC000927)
Source: RNAcentral
AAACCCGUCCACUGCAGCAAGUUAAACCCACCAUACAAUAAAAUUUGCAAUAGCAUGACAUGGCAAUUAUUUUAUUUUAUUUUACAGCCUUUCAAGGCAAAUCAACAAUUUAUACAUUUCCAACACAUUUAUCAAAUCAACCAUUCAUGCCAAUAUUGCCAUAAGCCAAUCAAUUAGAAUCAUGAAUUUACAACACACAAAAACAGUCUCCAAUUACUCUAUUUUCAAACCAUCAUUCAAUUUUAAAACAAUUUUAUGAAAUCAUUUCAUUAAAUCACAUUUUGUUUAUAAAAUCAAAAAAUUAAUCAUUUAAUUCAUUUUCCAUAAAAUUCAC